UACGGAGGGUGCAAGCGUUAUCCGGAUUCACUGGGUUUAAAGGGUGCGUAGGCGGGCAGGUAAGUCCGUGGUGAAAUCCCCGAGCUUAACUCGGGAACUGCCAUGGAUACUAUUUGUCUUGAAUAUUGUGGAGGUAAGCGGAAUAUGUCAUGUAGCGGUGAAAUGCUUAGAUAUGACAUAGAACACCAAUUGCGAAGGCAGCUUACUACACAGUUAUUGACGCUGAGGCACGAAAGCGUGGGGAUCAAACAGG
RNAcentral lists this ribosomal RNA (253 nucleotides) under uncultured bacterium. Its description in RNAcentral is "partial 16S ribosomal RNA". It matches the Rfam family "Bacterial small subunit ribosomal RNA", at positions 524 to 776 of the family's 1533-position model. The record is from RNAcentral.